GACGAACGCUGGCGGCGUGCCUAAUACAUGCAAGUAGAACGCUGAAGGAGGAGCUUGCUUCUCUGGAUGAGUUGCGAACGGGUGAGUAACGCGUAGGUAACCUGCCUGGUAGCGGGGGAUAACUAUUGGAAACGAUAGCUAAUACCGCAUAAUAGUAGAUGUCGCAUGACAUUUGCUUAAAAGGUGCAAUUGCAUCACUACCAGAUGGACCUGCGUUGUAUUAGCUAGUUGGUGAGGUAACGACUCACCAAGGCAACGAUACAUAGCCGACCUGAGAGGGUGAUCGGCCACACUGGGACUGAGACACGGCCCAGACUCCUACGGGAGGCAGCAGUUGGGAAUCUUCGGCAAUGGACGGAAGUCUGACCGAGCAACGCCGCGUGAGUGAAGAAGGUUUUCGGAUCGUAAAGCUCUGUUGUAAGAGAAGAACGAGUGUGAGAGUGGAAAGUUCACACUGUGACGGUAUCUUACCAGAAAGGGACGGCUAACUACGUG
RNAcentral lists this ribosomal RNA (495 nucleotides) under uncultured bacterium. RNAcentral describes it as "partial 16S ribosomal RNA". It matches the Rfam family "Bacterial small subunit ribosomal RNA", at positions 28 to 507 of the family's 1533-position model. The record is from RNAcentral.